UGGGGGAUAUUGCACAAUGGGCGAAAGCCUGAUGCAUCGACGCCGCGUGGGGGAUGCAGGCCUUCGGGUUGUAAACUUCUUUUGCUCUGAACAAGGCGCACCAUGGGGUGUGUUGAGUGUAGGGGUUGAUUAGCGCCGGCUACCUACGUGCCAUCAGCCGCGGUAAUACGUAGGGCGCGAGCGUUGUCCGGAAUUAUUGGGCGUAACGGGCUUGUAGGUGGCUGGUUGCGUCUGUCGUGAAAGCUCAUGGCUUAACUGUGGGUUUGCGGUGGGUACGGGCUGGCUUGAGUGCAGGAGGGGAGGCUGGAAUUCCUGGUGUAGCGGUGGAAUGCGCAGAUAUCAGGAGGAAUACCGGUGGCGAAGGCGGGUCUCUGGGCUGUUACUGACACUGAGGAGCGAAAGCAUGGGGAGCGAACAGG
This 419-nucleotide ribosomal RNA is filed under the name bacterium. RNAcentral's name for it is "partial 16S ribosomal RNA". It matches the Rfam family "Bacterial small subunit ribosomal RNA", at positions 355 to 776 of the family's 1533-position model. The record is from RNAcentral.